RNAcentral lists this ribosomal RNA (468 nucleotides) under uncultured bacterium. RNAcentral describes it as "partial 16S ribosomal RNA". It matches the Rfam family "Bacterial small subunit ribosomal RNA", at positions 28 to 507 of the family's 1533-position model. The record is from RNAcentral.
GACGAACGCUGGCGGCGUGCUUAACACAUGCAAGUCGAACGGAAAGGCCCUGCUUUUGUGGGGUGCUCGAGUGGCGAACGGGUGAGUAACACGUGAGUAACCUGCCCUUGACUUUGGGAUAACUUCAGGAAACUGGGGCUAAUACCGGAUAGGAGCUCCUGCUGCAUGGUGGGGGUUGGAAAGUUUCGGCGGUUGGGGAUGGACUCGCGGCUUAUCAGCUUGUUGGUGGGGUAGUGGCUUACCAAGGCUUUGACGGGUAGCCGGCCUGAGAGGGUGACCGGGCACCUUGGGACUGAGAUACGGCCCAGACUCCUACGGGAGGCAGCAGUGGGGAAUAUUGCACAAUGGGCGGAAGCCUGAUGCAGCAACGCCGCGUGCGGGAUGAAGGCCUUCGGGGUGUAAACCGCUUUCGCCUGUGACGAAGCGUGAGUGACGGUAAUGGGUAAAGAAGCACCGGCUAACUACGUG